Molecule: small nucleolar RNA, 93 nt
Organism: Phoenix dactylifera (date palm)
Lineage: Eukaryota; Viridiplantae; Streptophyta; Magnoliopsida; Arecales; Arecaceae
Product: small nucleolar RNA Z162
Source: RefSeq, a predicted model, not a curated record
GUGGGCACAAUGAGGAAAUAACAUUAUUCUUUUGCGAGAUCCAUAGAUCUGUGAGUAACACUUAAUUUUAGUCCUUUUCAUUCUGAGUGUCCC